CACAUGUAGUGUGAAUAUAGGAUACAUUUCCCAAAAUGUGUUUCAUUCCUUAGUAGCUUGCAAAAUGGUGGUGUUGUUCAGAACACAUUUUGUGAAAUGCUACAGCCACCUGUCAGAUCCAAAAGAUAAUUCUGAUAGUGGUGUUAAAAAAAAAAAUGGAGUAAUGGAGUGAGGAACUAGACACAGCCCAACAAGAGUGGAGCAGGUGUCAAUGGGCAGGAAUGAUGGGCAAGUUCUGGUUGCCUAGUACCACAGAUUUGCCCGCCUUCCAUCUGGGCACCCAGAACUUCUGGCCAAGAGGUUUUAAAUACCCAGGGUGUGGCCCACCUGCUCCAUGUUGCUGGGAACGGCGGUAAAUGUCCCUGGAUAGACUGUGGUGGCCCAAGUUGGCUGACGGGAGGGGAACCCCAGCAGCCAGUGCCAAGCUGCUUUAGGAGCCCUCAGAGUGAGCCACAGGUGGCCUGCACCUGAGAGUGUCCUCAUCUCCCUAGUGACUUUCCAGGGCCAAACAGGCCCUCCCUCUAGCCAAGAUUCCAACCUUGGAUUCUGGCCUUGACAGCUCAAGCCAAUUCAGGGAUUUUUGGAUGUCCCUACAGCGGUUUUGAAAAAAAAAAAAUUACAAUCUUUAGCAUUGGAUCACCCAGCCAGUGGAUGUGGACGAAGGGCACAGGUAGCUGCCAAAGCUGUGAAGUGUAGGAGGCCUGGAGCAGUGAUACCGCCACCGUGCUGUCAUCUGACCUUCAAUUGCCUCCUUCCGGAGCAGGAGUGGGGAUUUCCUCGCUGGGCUCACCCAACCCGGUCGCAUCUUGUCCAGUGCAGCCAUGCCAACAAUACCGCUCCCUUCACCACCCUCUGAGGAGAUUUCGGCUCCUUCAUCCUUCAUCUCAGCUCUGCGCUCCUGCACCCCGACAGAACUCGCCAGGAAGUGGGGGCAGCGGAACCGGCGCCGCCUGCGCGACAGCGGGGGUGGAGGAGAUGGGGAGCGGGGAGGAGCGCCGCGGUGCCAGCCAGUGCGCUCGCAGGGGAGGCGGCUUGGGGUGGCUCUGGCUGGGAUCUAGUGUCUUUGGGGGAGGGGGAAGGGGGACAGUCGCUGUCGCAGCCCCGCCCACAUGGCGGAUCAUUCUACCCAGGGGUGCAGGUGCGGCGGCACCUGGCCGGCUGAUUUAAGGACCGACCCGCCUGGCCCGCCCCCGAGGCGCAGGUGGGUCACCACCUGUCAGCACACUCCAACCACCCUGUCCCGCCUUCGAGUUCUGAGUAUGAUCUGAAGACUGGAGCCUGGGCCGGGAAUGAGUAGUGGCCUCCAGGUGUGGUUGGGCCAAAGGGCAGCAGGGAGUGUGGGUUAAGAUCAGGGACGCUGGAGCCACACUGCCAGUUUUGAAAUGCAUUUCCCAGCCAUAUGACCUUCCGCAGGUCUCUCAGCCUCUCUGUGCCAGCUUCCUGUAAAGUGGGAAUAAUCACCAUGACUACCUCACGCAGUCCUUAUGAAAAUCCAUUAACUUACAAAAUGGCUGGGUCAGCACUUCAGGAAAACCUGGGAUCUUCUUUUCUGCUGACUUAUGAGAACAUUCAGUAUACAGUAGAAUGUCUGAUCAACAGUUCUGAGUCCUUUCACAUAAUUUAUCAUCCAAAUCCAGGCACAUCUGAGAGUGAAAAGGGCAUUAGGAACAUGCAAUUUUUGAAAUAUUUAUU
Molecule: non-coding RNA, 1692 nt
Organism: Vicugna pacos (alpaca)
Lineage: Eukaryota; Metazoa; Chordata; Mammalia; Artiodactyla; Camelidae
Source: RefSeq, a predicted model, not a curated record